Molecule: transfer RNA, 75 nt
Filed under: bacterium
Lineage: Bacteria
Description: tRNA-Arg
Rfam family: tRNA
About the family: Transfer RNA (tRNA) molecules are approximately 80 nucleotides in length. Their secondary structure includes four short double-helical elements and three loops (D, anti-codon, and T loops).
Source: RNAcentral
GGCCCCAUAGUUAAAUGGAUAUAACAGAUGCCUUCUAAGCAUCUAUUAGAGGUUCGAUUCCUCUUGGGGCUACUA